CCUAACAAAACAUUUUUGCAGUGCAAAUAAGUCCUCUGUGUGGGAGGCCAACUUUUUAAAUGUGCAGUGUAUCAUUUUAAAAUUCCCUUGGGGCUCUAACCUUGUAGACAGAUGUCUUAAACACUGGUAAUGUGUCUAAGUGACUUUUCACAGUGAUCUGUCCAGACAGCAUCUGCUCAGCAAAGCUGUCUUUUAGCAGACCAGUACAGGACAGCAUCAAAUCUGUAUUUGAUAUAUUUCAUCCUAGUCUGAAUGAGGAGAACUCAGCCUGCCACACCUGAGCCACCUCUGCAGGAAGAGCUAGGACAAAAAUCAGUGACUUCAUUUUGACCCAAGCAGCUUUUCAAUUACAUCAGUUCCGUGUUUUCAGAUUCUUCAAGUUGCCCUACCAUGAUGACAGAAAACUUCUGAAGGAAAAGAUACUGAGAUUCCACAGGAACUCAUGCGAGAAGGUGAGAACACUGAUCAAUUAGGCAUACAGAAACCUAAAGUCACUUUUGGAGAAAUGAGGAUGAAGAGGUUCUGCGGCACGGGGAAGGCGAGAGGAGGUCCCUGCCCCUGGCUCCUGUUGCCUCAUCGCUGUUUUAACAAAAUCCCAGCUCUUGGCUCCAGCCCAUCGGACUCUGGCUGAGCCACACUGAUCUCUGCCUGCUCCCAAAACGUCACUGCAGCUGAGAAUUCAGCCACCAGCUGUGGAAAAGCUCCAUUCGAUGCACAGCAUGGUAGCUGCUGCCGCUUAGUGGCAUGAGCUACUGAGUGCACAUUUCAUCCACUGUGCUCCCCGUGUUGGCUUACGGCAGGAUACGAACUGAAACUGAAAUCCUGCAUUCCCGAAGUCAGAGCAAACCCAUUUGCUUCACUGAAUCCAGAAUACCGCUAUGGAUCCCAAUACCCCCAA
Molecule: long non-coding RNA, 898 nt
Filed under: Chrysolophus pictus (golden pheasant)
Lineage: Eukaryota; Metazoa; Chordata; Aves; Galliformes; Phasianidae
Description: lncRNA (ENSCPIG00010005973.1)
Source: RNAcentral